UACGUAGGUGUCAAGCGUUGUCCGGAAUUACUGGGCGUAAAGGGCGCGUAGGCGGUCUUUUAAGUCUUGUGUGAAAUCCCUCGGCUCAACUGAGGAACUGCACGGGAUACUGGAAGACUUGAGUUCGGGAGAGGGAAGCGGAAUUCCGGGUGUAGCGGUGAAAUGCGUAGAUAUCCGGAGGAACACCGGUGGCGAAGGCGGCUUCCUGGACCGAUUACUGACGCUGAGGCGCGAAAGCUAGGGGAGCAAACGGG
Molecule: ribosomal RNA, 254 nt
Filed under: uncultured bacterium
Lineage: Bacteria
Description: partial 16S ribosomal RNA
Rfam family: Bacterial small subunit ribosomal RNA
Source: RNAcentral